AUGCCAUGUUCGGGGCGAGACCUUUUUUGCCGUCGGUUAAAAAGCACGCAUCUAAAAGCAAAUGAGUAUGCCACGUCCGUUUUGAACAUCGUUCCGGAUAGGUUGAACCAGCGAACUACUCCAACGUCCAACCUCCCGAGUCUCGACCUGGAUCUUCCCCACUCUUCUCCACACUCUGCCCUCACCUCUCAUCUGGCCUCCGCGAUCUCUUCCCCCUGGCUUGUCCUUGGCGACUUCAACCUCAUCCGCUCCCCCGCCGAGAAGAACAAACCUAACUUUGGCGCCUCACGAGCUGCGGCCUUCAACUCUCUCUCUUGGUUCGAGCUUCCCCUCUCAGACCGUCUCUUCACCAGGUCUAACAAGCGCACUCCUCCUACGUUAGCUCGUCUUGACAGGGCUUUCUUCAACUCUGCCUGGGACUCCCUCUUCCCGGACUCCUCCCUCUCCUCUCGUGCUCGCCCUACAUCUGAUGACUUCCACCUUGCCCUACAUCUGAUGACUUCCACCUUGCCCUACAUCUGA
Molecule: ribosomal RNA, 522 nt
Filed under: Triticum aestivum (bread wheat)
Lineage: Eukaryota; Viridiplantae; Streptophyta; Magnoliopsida; Poales; Poaceae
Description: partial small subunit ribosomal RNA
Source: RNAcentral